RNAcentral lists this ribosomal RNA (394 nucleotides) under uncultured bacterium. RNAcentral's name for it is "bacterial SSU rRNA". It matches the Rfam family "Bacterial small subunit ribosomal RNA", at positions 30 to 429 of the family's 1533-position model. The record is from RNAcentral.
AUUGAACGCUGGCGGCAUGCCUUACACAUGCAAGUCGAACGGCAGCGGACCUUCGGGUGCCGGCGAGUGGCGAACGGGUGAGUAAUAUAUCGGAACGUACCUUUCAGUGGGGGGAUAACGUAGCGAAAGUUACGCUAAUACCGCAUAUUCUGUGAGCAGGAAAGCAGGGGAUCGCAAGACCUUGCGCUGAUUGAGCGGCCGAUAUCAGAUUAGCUAGUUGGUGAGGUAAAGGCUCACCAAGGCGACGAUCUGUAGCGGGUCUGAGAGGAUGAUCCGCCACACUGGAACUGAGACACGGUCCAGACUCCUACGGGAGGCAGCAGUGGGGAAUUUUGGACAAUGGGCGCAAGCCUGAUCCAGCCAUGCCGCGUGAGUGAAGAAGGCCUGGUGUAAG